RNAcentral lists this long non-coding RNA (772 nucleotides) under Mytilus galloprovincialis (Mediterranean mussel). The record is from RNAcentral. Lineage: Eukaryota; Metazoa; Mollusca; Bivalvia; Mytilida; Mytilidae.
AUUUUGUUUAAAUAUCAAGUUAUAAUUACAUUAGAUGUAUAAUUCAUUAUAAUACGUUAUUCUGAUUGGCUAACUGCCCAUCACGUGUUAUUCCUUAAGCAAUUGCAUUACUCAAUAAAACUUAUCAUUCAUGAUAACACGAGGUCCCACAAUAAAGUGCACAGGUGAAUUGAAUAAAAAGCUGAUAAAAUUCGUGCUUUCGUGAUCGUAGCUAAAAAAUGUAAUUAUAAGUAUUGAAUACUGCUUUUUGUAACAACAUAGGGUUGUAAAAGCAUUGACCGUGCGCACAUUUUUAGAACGAAGCGCUUCUCCGCUCCAUACAAAAUGUACUUCUGUCAACGCUUUUACACCCCAAUGAAGUUACACAGAGAUGAAUUCAAUUCUUAAAUGCAUGUAGGUGUAAUACCACCAUUGAUUUUCCCCUAUUAGUCUUUGUUAAAUUUGCACUUUCCAAAAAAAUGUGCAGAAUUUAUCCUUGUUUCAAAUAAAGAAAUACUUGGCAUGAGUAAAGUUUUGCCCUGUCCAGUUCUAUAGAAAAAAAUUCACAUAACAUUUCAUUGCAUAUAAGAAAAUAACCAUCAUUGGAAGUUAACCAAUCAAAUUUCUCCCCUUAUUUAUCUGUGUACAAGGUUUAGUCACCAUGUAACCUCAAGAUUACUAAAUUUUCUAUAGAAAUCACAAAUAAAAAUAAUGGUGUUUUGAAAUACCCAAGACAUAUGUUUAUGACACAGAAAUGGUUUUACUGCAAUAAAAUGUGGGAUUAAUUAUCUAC